Molecule: long non-coding RNA, 104 nt
Organism: Bradysia coprophila
Lineage: Eukaryota; Metazoa; Arthropoda; Insecta; Diptera; Sciaridae
Source: RefSeq, a predicted model, not a curated record
AUUGUCAAGUACAGCGAAAACCUAAACAGUGAAAAUCGUUUUUGUUCACCGAUUUUCAUUUUCCAUUCAUCGCUGAUGAUGUAAUAAUAAAAUUACGAAACGUU